GAUAAUGAAGUAAAAAUUACAACUAGUUUCGACCUAGUAGUCAGAGAAAUAAUUAAUAAUUCUCCUUAUCU
RNAcentral lists this transfer RNA (71 nucleotides) under Poecilocoris druraei. Its description in RNAcentral is "tRNA-Arg". Lineage: Eukaryota; Metazoa; Arthropoda; Insecta; Hemiptera; Scutelleridae. The record is from RNAcentral.